RNAcentral lists this ribosomal RNA (400 nucleotides) under uncultured bacterium. RNAcentral's name for it is "bacterial SSU rRNA". It matches the Rfam family "Bacterial small subunit ribosomal RNA", at positions 355 to 770 of the family's 1533-position model. The record is from RNAcentral.
UGGGGAAUAUUGCACAAUGGAGGAAACUCUGAUGCAGCGACGCCGCGUGAGUGAAGAAGGUCUUCGGAUCGUAAAACUCUGUCCUUGGUGAAGAAGAAAAUGACGGUAGCCAAGGAGGAAGCCCCGGCUAACUACGUGCCAGCAGCCGCGGUAAUACGUAGGGGGCGAGCGUUGUCCGGAUUUACUGGGCGUAAAGGGUGAGUAGGCGGUUAUAUAAGUCAGAUGUAAAAGGCACAGGCUUAACUUGUGUAAGCAUUUGAAACUGUAUAACUUGAGUGCAGGAGAGGUAAGUGGAAUUCCUAGUGUAGCGGUGAAAUGCGUAGAUAUUAGGAGGAACACCAGUGGCGAAGGCGACUUACUGGACUGUAACUGACGCUGAGUCACGAAAGCGUGGGUAGCA